CGAGGGCUUGGGAUUCAAGCUCGUAGACGGAGUUGAUUAGAAGAUAUUGUGCUCUUGGCACCCAUGAAAUGCUUUCCAAAGUAAGCUGCAUAACUCGUGCCUCGCCUCCAUUGAAGAUUGUUCGAAGGUCUUUUAUGCGAGCAAAAUGAUACAAUAUUGAAAAUACGGUUGCUGACAAAGUGUAAAGAGUGGCCACUGGAAUAUUUCUCUUGUUUGCAAUGGUGAUUGCCCAUAGUAACUCGGCAUCGGCUAUGAUAGUAGUCACUGGCGGGUCAAGCUGAUCAAGUAGCCGUUCAAAUGGACCUUCCAUCUUUGUCAUCACAGCCUCAUAGAAUCCAGGAAAAUCAGCUCCACGGACUAGUUCAGAAGGGAUGACAUUUGGUAUCGAGGCAAAUCUAAUGUUGCUGGGUUUAGUAUCAGAGCCAAUGAAUCCAAGCCACUCUUCAGUAACAACAAAAGUGAAGAGAAUAUCAUGUUUCUUUGAAGAUAGUAACUUGCAGAGAUUCAUCAUGGGGUUGACAUGGCCUCUGCCAGGAUAGGGCACUGCUAACACAUGGCAGUUGGUUGUUGAUCGCUGGUCAACGGCGUCCAUGUUAGAGUCCAUCUGUAUAUCUAGAAUGAUUUGAACGGAAGGUGUUCUCUGUCCAUAAUUUGUAGUAGAACGGAAGCAAUCAAAGGCUAGCAAGACAAGGACUCGCACAUGAUGUGCAGUUAAAAGAGAUUUACAAGAUGACAAUAUCACCACUUGAUUUGAUUUUGACGUUUCUGUUUUAUCUGUGUGUUGCCCGCAUAAUUCAGGAAGCGUGACAUGUUAAUGCUCCCAGCCUUUGGAUCAAUGCUCUAUUCAAAUAAAAAUACACAAACCACUCGCAGAUGUCUUUUAACGAA
Molecule: long non-coding RNA, 888 nt
Organism: Populus nigra (black poplar)
Lineage: Eukaryota; Viridiplantae; Streptophyta; Magnoliopsida; Malpighiales; Salicaceae
Exons: 2
Source: RefSeq, a predicted model, not a curated record